Molecule: ribosomal RNA, 2928 nt
Filed under: Escherichia coli
Lineage: Bacteria; Pseudomonadati; Pseudomonadota; Gammaproteobacteria; Enterobacterales; Enterobacteriaceae
Description: bacterial LSU rRNA
Rfam family: Bacterial large subunit ribosomal RNA
Source: RNAcentral
GGGUUGUGAGGUUAAGCGACUAAGCGUACACGGUGGAUGCCCUGGCAGUCAGAGGCGAUGAAGGACGUGCUAAUCUGCGAUAAGCGUCGGUAAGGUGAUAUGAACCGUUAUAACCGGCGAUUUCCGAAUGGGGAAACCCAGUGUGUUUCGACACACUAUCAUUAACUGAAUCCAUAGGUUAAUGAGGCGAACCGGGGGAACUGAAACAUCUAAGUACCCGAGGAAAAGAAAUCAACCGAGAUUCCCCCAGUAGCGGCGAGCGAACGGGGAGCAGCCCAGAGCCUGAAUCAGUGUGUGUGUUAGUGGAAGCGUCUGGAAAGGCGUGCGAUACAGGGUGACAGCCCCGUACACAAAAAUGCACAUGCUGUGAGCUCGAUGAGUAGGGCGGGACACGUGGUAUCCUGUCUGAAUAUGGGGGGACCAUCCUCCAAGGCUAAAUACUCCUGACUGACCGAUAGUGAACCAGUACCGUGAGGGAAAGGCGAAAAGAACCCCGGCGAGGGGAGUGAAAAAGAACCUGAAACCGUGUACGUACAAGCAGUGGGAGCACGCUUAGGCGUGUGACUGCGUACCUUUUGUAUAAUGGGUCAGCGACUUAUAUUCUGUAGCAAGGUUAACCGAAUAGGGGAGCCGAAGGGAAACCGAGUCUUAACUGGGCGUUAAGUUGCAGGGUAUAGACCCGAAACCCGGUGAUCUAGCCAUGGGCAGGUUGAAGGUUGGAUAACACUAACUGGAGGACCGAACCGACUAAUGUUGAAAAAUUAGCGGAUGACUUGUGGCUGGGGGUGAAAGGCCAAUCAAACCGGGAGAUAGCUGGUUCUCCCCGAAAGCUAUUUAGGUAGCGCCUCGUGAAUUCAUCUCCGGGGGUAGAGCACUGUUUCGGCAAGGGGGUCAUCCCGACUUACCAACCCGAUGCAAACUGCGAAUACCGGAGAAUGUUAUCACGGGAGACACACGGCGGGUGCUAACGUCCGUCGUGAAGAGGGAAACAACCCAGACCGCCAGCUAAGGUCCCAAAGUCAUGGUUAAGUGGGAAACGAUGUGGGAAGGCCCAGACAGCCAGGAUGUUGGCUUAGAAGCAGCCAUCAUUUAAAGAAAGCGUAAUAGCUCACUGGUCGAGUCGGCCUGCGCGGAAGAUGUAACGGGGCUAAACCAUGCACCGAAGCUGCGGCAGCGACGCUGAUGCGUUGUUGGGUAGGGGAGCGUUCUGUAAGCCUGCGAAGGUGUGCUGUGAGGCAUGCUGGAGGUAUCAGAAGUGCGAAUGCUGACAUAAGUAACGAUAAAGCGGGUGAAAAGCCCGCUCGCCGGAAGACCAAGGGUUCCUGUCCAACGUUAAUCGGGCAGGGUGAGUCGACCCUAAGGCGAGGCCGAAAGGCGUAGUCGAUGGGAAACAGGUUAAUAUUCCUGUACUUGGUGUUACUGCGAAGGGGGGACGGAGAAGGCUAUGUUGGCCGGGCGACGGUUGUCCCGGUUUAAGCGUGUAGGCUGGUUUUCCAGGCAAAUCCGGAAAAUCAAGGCUGAGGCGUGAUGACGAGGCACUACGGUGCUGAAGCAACAAAUGCCCUGCUUCCAGGAAAAGCCUCUAAGCAUCAGGUAACAUCAAAUCGUACCCCAAACCGACACAGGUGGUCAGGUAGAGAAUACCAAGGCGCUUGAGAGAACUCGGGUGAAGGAACUAGGCAAAAUGGUGCCGUAACUUCGGGAGAAGGCACGCUGAUAUGUAGGUGAAGUCCCUCGCGGAUGGAGCUGAAAUCAGUCGAAGAUACCAGCUGGCUGCAACUGUUUAUUAAAAACACAGCACUGUGCAAACACGAAAGUGGACGUAUACGGUGUGACGCCUGCCCGGUGCCGGAAGGUUAAUUGAUGGGGUCAGCGCAAGCGAAGCUCUUGAUCGAAGCCCCGGUAAACGGCGGCCGUAACUAUAACGGUCCUAAGGUAGCGAAAUUCCUUGUCGGGUAAGUUCCGACCUGCACGAAUGGCGUAAUGAUGGCCAGGCUGUCUCCACCCGAGACUCAGUGAAAUUGAACUCGCUGUGAAGAUGCAGUGUACCCGCGGCAAGACGGAAAGACCCCGUGAACCUUUACUAUAGCUUGACACUGAACAUUGAGCCUUGAUGUGUAGGAUAGGUGGGAGGCUUUGAAGUGUGGACGCCAGUCUGCAUGGAGCCGACCUUGAAAUACCACCCUUUAAUGUUUGAUGUUCUAACGUGGACCCGUGAUCCGGGUUGCGGACAGUGUCUGGUGGGUAGUUUGACUGGGGCGGUCUCCUCCUAAAGAGUAACGGAGGAGCACGAAGGUUGGCUAAUCCUGGUCGGACAUCAGGAGGUUAGUGCAAUGGCAUAAGCCAGCUUGACUGCGAGCGUGACGGCGCGAGCAGGUGCGAAAGCAGGUCAUAGUGAUCCGGUGGUUCUGAAUGGAAGGGCCAUCGCUCAACGGAUAAAAGGUACUCCGGGGAUAACAGGCUGAUACCGCCCAAGAGUUCAUAUCGACGGCGGUGUUUGGCACCUCGAUGUCGGCUCAUCACAUCCUGGGGCUGAAGUAGGUCCCAAGGGUAUGGCUGUUCGCCAUUUAAAGUGGUACGCGAGCUGGGUUUAGAACGUCGUGAGACAGUUCGGUCCCUAUCUGCCGUGGGCGCUGGAGAACUGAGGGGGGCUGCUCCUAGUACGAGAGGACCGGAGUGGACGCAUCACUGGUGUUCGGGUUGUCAUGCCAAUGGCACUGCCCGGUAGCUAAAUGCGGAAGAGAUAAGUGCUGAAAGCAUCUAAGCACGAAACUUGCCCCGAGAUGAGUUCUCCCUGACUCCUUGAGAGUCCUGAAGGAACGUUGAAGACGACGACGUUGAUAGGCCGGGUGUGUAAGCGCAGCGAUGCGUUGAGCUAACCGGUACUAAUGAACCGUGAGGCUUAACCUUACAACGCCGAAGGUGUUU